RNAcentral lists this ribosomal RNA (164 nucleotides) under uncultured bacterium. RNAcentral's name for it is "partial 16S rRNA". It matches the Rfam family "Bacterial small subunit ribosomal RNA", at positions 355 to 511 of the family's 1533-position model. The record is from RNAcentral.
UAGGGAAUCUUCCACAACGGACGAAAGUCUGAUGGAGCAACGCCGCGUGAGUGAAGAAGGGUUUCGGCUCGUAAAACUCUGUUGUUAAAGAAGAACAUAUCUGAGAGUAACUGUUCAGGUAUUGACGGUAUUUAACCAGAAAGCCACGGCUAACUACGUGCUAG